MicroRNA precursor from Oryza sativa Indica Group (long-grained rice), 196 nucleotides. It matches the Rfam family "MIR812 microRNA precursor family". NCBI's taxonomy places the organism in Eukaryota, Viridiplantae, Streptophyta, Magnoliopsida, Poales, Poaceae. The record is from Rfam.
AAAAAGAGUUUUUCGUUUCUAACAUUUGACCGUCCGUCUUAUUUAAAAAAAUUAUAAAAAAAAUAAAAAUACAAGUCACGUAUAAAAUAUUAAUCAUGUUUUAUCAUCUAACAAUAAUAAAAAUAUAAAUUAUAAAAAAAAUUUAUAUAAGACGGAUAGUUAAAAUUGGACAUGGAAAUUCAGUGUUUACUUUUUU